This 229-nucleotide ribosomal RNA is filed under the name uncultured bacterium. RNAcentral describes it as "partial 16S ribosomal RNA". It matches the Rfam family "Bacterial small subunit ribosomal RNA", at positions 568 to 796 of the family's 1533-position model. The record is from RNAcentral.
UGCGUAGGCGGACUAAUAAGUCAGUGGUGAAAUCUCUCGGCUCAACCGGGAAACUGCCAUUGAUACUGUUAGUCUUGAGUUCGGUUGAGGUAGGCGGAAUGUGUAAUGUAGCGGUGAAAUGCUUAGAUAUUACACAGAACACCAAUUGCGUAGGCAGCUUACUAGACCGACACUGACGCUAAGGCACGAAAGCGUGGGUAGCGAACAGGAUUAGAUACCCUGGUAGUCC